Long non-coding RNA from Triticum dicoccoides, 375 nucleotides. RefSeq lists it as uncharacterized. The transcript has 3 exons. NCBI's taxonomy places the organism in Eukaryota, Viridiplantae, Streptophyta, Magnoliopsida, Poales, Poaceae. The record is from RefSeq and is a predicted model, not a curated record.
CCAUGUUGAACGGAGACGCCGAUGGUUGCCCUUCAAGCACCAACAAAUUGGAAAUUCCAAGCUCUGCUGAGAUUACGAGCAGAGUGGAAAGGGAAUCAACACCAUCACGCCAAAUCAUUGAAGGAGCAAUCCAAUAGCUAAAAACUACAGUGAUCUCACUAUCCACCAAGUAUUGUUAUUUUCUCUACCUACGUCCUAAUCAGGCCCUAGCAGAGCUUGAACCUUCUUCAGCAAAUAAGGGUCACUGAGUUCUUAUAGUCAGUCACUGGACCACAAUGGUUGAUAUCCUUCAAUGGACACUGGAAGUAAUAUGAGCUACAGAUAUGCGUCUUAAUGAGGGGUUAUUUCUUUCCUCAACAAGUUACAGUACAGUAG